AGGGGGCGGGAAAAAGGGGCCAGGGGGGCGGGUCCAUAGACUGGGAAGAGAGGGAGGAGCUGACGUAAUCCGCUUGUAAACAAAUAAACCCCGGAGUGGCAGCCGGAGAAGGGGGAGCAAGUGGCUAGGGAAGGAGGAAACCAGGGGUGCGCGUGUGAAAGCCCCGCCCCCCCAGCCCUAGCUCCUCCUUCCCGCUCCGGCAACUCCAGGCUCCUCGCCAGCGCAUCCUCUGCAAGAGUACUCUGCCCGGGCUAGCCUGCGAGGAGGCUUAAUGCUGUGCAGAUAAAAGCAGCCCGGCUUAGGCUGUGUACACCCGCGCCGGCGGCACGGAUACGUCUGCCUGGCCCGCUGACUGUACUCGGUGUUUACAUCCUGUCCCCGACGCGGAGUCUACGUGGCUGGCUCCACGGGCAGGAUGAGCAGCGGGGUGCGGGUACCAGUGCUGAGGAUACAGGGAGUGUGGAGAAAAGUGGAGCGAACCGGCUCUCGAGGCAAACAGGACUUACUUCCCCAGUGGCACAGUGAAUAAAGAAUCCGUCUGCCAAUGCGAGGGACAUGGAUUUGAUUCCUGGUCUGGGAAGAUUACACAUGCCUCGGAGCAACUGAGCCCCUGCGCCAUCACAGCUACUGAAGCCCAUAUGCCUAAAACCUAUGCCCACAACAAGAGAAGCUGUAGCAAUGAGAAGCCUGCGCACUGCAACAAAAAGUAGCCUCCGAUCACUGCAACUAGAGAAAUCCCAUGUGCAACAAUGGAGACCCAGGCAACUCUGUCCAUGGGAUUCUCCAGGCAAGAAUACUGGGGUGCGUUACCAUUUCCUUCUCCAGAGGAUCUUCCCAACUCAGGGAUCAAAACUGCACCUUUUGCAUUGCAGGUGGAUUUAUUGCUGCUGAGCCAUACAGGUGCUCUGAAAGUCUAACUUUUAGAGAGAUGGGACAGAAAAAACAAUCAGAAAAAUCUUUCCCACAGCAACAAAAAGUCAGAAAUCUGAAAAUGAGUAGGAAUUAACCCACAUAAGACCUGGGGAGUGAAAAUUGCUCUCUAGACUAAAGAAACGAAUUUACAAGGAGGACACAGGUUUGCCCAAAGCAGAAUCAUGUGGUCCUAACAGGGGUAGUGAGAAGAAACAGACCAAAGUAUGUGAGGCUAGAACAGGAGGCACCUUGUAAAUUGCAUUUAAAUUGCAUUUAAGAGGUCAAUCUUAUCCAAAGAAUGAGGAAGAAAUCACCCAAGAGUUCUAAGUGUAUUAUUAUACCCAUUAAGCACCAGAGCAAUGAGAAUUCUGGUAUUAGAAAAUUAGAAAGUGACGAUUCCUUCUUAAGAAGUUUUAUUUCUUAUUUGCUUUGUAAGAGCUAUAGGAAAAUCUGUAACCAAGGCCACUUCUCUUAAGAAGCUUCUUUAGAUCUGCUCAGAUAUUCAAUAACACUUGUAACUCUAGAAAUUUAGGUCAGAUGGGCAAACUUUUUAUUUUUUUAUUUUUUUCCCUUCCUAUUUUUUUUUCAUUUAUUUUUAUUAGUCGGAGGCUAAUUACUUUACAAUAUUGUAGUGGUUUUUGUCAUACAUUGACAUGAAUCAGCCAUGGAUUUACAUGUAUUCCCCAAACUUUUUAAAAUAAAGAGUCAGAAUAUACCUUUUGACUUUGUAGGCUAGAGGAUCUUUGUCACAUGUAUUCAACUCUUGCUAGUGUAGUGUAGAUCCCAUGAAACUUUGUUUGCAAAACACAGGAGAUAAUGGGUUUAGCCCUAGGGCAAUACUUUGCCUAUCCUUGAUCUAGAUCAAGUAGCAUCAAAGACAUGAUCUGGAUGGAAGAUUUUGGAGACUAUGGCAAACAUCUAAGUAAACAAACCUUUAACAGAAUAAUUGUACUUCCUUGGGACUUUGAUUUUGAGGAGGACUGUGUUGGGACUUGGGACUUGGUAUUAUAAAAAAGGAACAAAUUGCACCUCCUAUGAGCUGAACAAAUUGACCUUGUGAACAGAAUUAUCAUCUGUGUAGAUUGUGAGGAAUAUGAGAUCCUUAGAGGCAAGUAUUUGUGUCUGUUUUGUUCAGUUUUUCUUUUUAACCCCUAGCUGAAUCCGUGGACUCUCAAGUUUUGUCUAUAGAAUUAUAUGCUAAUGGCUAAUAGAUGUAUCUCACCAAAUGAAUGUUCAGUUAAUGACUUUUCAGCAAUAUAACUUGUAAAAAAGCCUUUUGGCAAACUUUGUUUUAUGCCCAAUGUAAAGCAAAUUUUACCCAAAACACACUAAAUAUACACAGUAUGAGAAAUUGUGUCAAUAUUGUGAUUGCAGGUGAAGACACACUCAUCAAUUCACUCAAAAGAGGUUUUUGUAGUCAGAGUAUCUUGGGAAACAAAUUUAUAUCAGAACGAAUUGCCCUGUUCUGAUGAAUACAAACAUGUUUGCUUUGCCUGUGAAUGGACAUGAAUUUGAGCAAACUCCAGGAGAUAGUAGGGGACACAGGAGCCUGGCGUGCUGCAGUCCAUGGGGUUGCAGAGUUGGACACGACUUAGCAAUGGAAUAACGACAACCAAGCAGGAGAUGAAGAAGAAGCAUCUUCAUUUCUUACAACCCUUUGGUCUGUUGUGUGCAUGUGUUUUGCUUUUAUUUUUGCUGUAGAGAUAAAAUGUUAAGCUUAUUUUAAGCAAAAUUUGACCUCAGUAACAAUGAACCUCCAGAAGAUUGAAACGUCUAUGAAGAAAAUAGUGUACAAAGAAUAAUGAGAUUUCUAAUGUCAAACGCCCUCAUCUUUCCCUAUACAUACAUCAUCGAUCCAGUCUUCACUCCUUCUUUGGGUGAGUACAAUAAGCCUUCAUUGGAUUAUUUGUUAGCUUACUUUCAAAUUUGUUGUUAUUGCUUAUACAAAGUUUUAUUACAUUUGCAUGUCUGGUUAUAUAGGAUAUAUAUCUGUAUAAAUAUCCCAUAUAUAUUUAAAUCUUUGAAAAUUAUU
Molecule: long non-coding RNA, 2944 nt
Organism: Dama dama (fallow deer)
Lineage: Eukaryota; Metazoa; Chordata; Mammalia; Artiodactyla; Cervidae
Exons: 3
Source: RefSeq, a predicted model, not a curated record